UUUCUUUUAUGGAGAGUUUGAUCCUGGCUCAGGACGAACGCUGGCGGCGUGCCUAAUACAUGCAAGUCGAGC
Molecule: ribosomal RNA, 72 nt
Rfam family: Bacterial small subunit ribosomal RNA